GAUUAACGCUGGCGGCGUGCAUAACACAUGCAAGUCGAACGAUGAAACUUUAAUGAACCCUUCGGGGAGAAUUAAAGCGGAUUAGUGGCGAACGGGUGAGUAACGCGUGAGUAACCUGCCUUACACAAGGGGAUAGCCUCUGGAAACGAAGAAUAAUACCCUAUAAAACCAUAAAAGCACAUGCAAUUAUGGUCAAAGUGAUAGCGGUGUAAGAUGGACUUGCGUCUGAUUAGCUAGUUGGUGAGAUAAAAGCCCACCAAGGCAACGAUCAGUAGCCGGCUUGAGAGAGUGUACGGCCACAUUGGGACUGAGACACGGCCCAGACUCCUACGGGAGGCAGCAGUGGGGAAUUUUGCACAAUGGGGGAAACCCUGAUGCAGCGACGCCGCGUGAUUUAGAAGGCCUUCGGGUUGUAAAAAUCUUUUGUAUAGGAAGAAAAUGACAGUACUAUACGAAUAAGGUCCGGCUAAUUACGU
This 476-nucleotide ribosomal RNA is filed under the name uncultured bacterium. RNAcentral's name for it is "partial 16S ribosomal RNA". It matches the Rfam family "Bacterial small subunit ribosomal RNA", at positions 28 to 506 of the family's 1533-position model. The record is from RNAcentral.